This 473-nucleotide ribosomal RNA is filed under the name uncultured bacterium. Its description in RNAcentral is "SSU rRNA". It matches the Rfam family "Bacterial small subunit ribosomal RNA", at positions 26 to 518 of the family's 1533-position model. The record is from RNAcentral.
AGGACGAACGCUGGCGGCGUGCUUAACACAUGCAAGUCGAGCGGAAAGGCCCUUCGGGGUACUCGAGCGGCGAACGGGUGAGUAACACGUGAGCAACCUGCCCUUAGCUCCGGGAUAGCUCCGGGAAACCGGAAUUAAUACCGGAUAUGACCUAGGCCGACAUCGGCUGUGGUGGAAAGUUUUUCGGCUGGGGAUGGACUCGCGGCCUAUCAGCUUGUUGGUGGGGUAAUGGCCUACCAAGGCGACGACGGGUAGCCGGCCUGAGAGGGCGACCGGCCACACUGGGACUGAGACACGGCCCAGACUCCUACGGGAGGCAGCAGUGGGGAAUCUUGCGCAAUGGGCGAAAGCCUGACGCAGCGACGCCGCGUGGGGGAUGAAGGCCUUCGGGUUGUAAACCCCUUUCAGCAGGGACGAAGCGAAAGUGACGGUACUGCAGAAGAAGCGCCGGCUAACUACGUGCCAGCAGCCGC